AUGCAUAUUAUAGAGCAGUUCCAUGAUUACAAGAUGGUUGAAAACCGUCCUGUAUUGAAGCAGGCUCAUGAGAUAAUAUGCAUUGUUAAGGAGCUUGAAUUUCUUAAGUGCGAGUUACCGGGCAAGUUUAUCGCGGGCUGCAUAAUCGCUAAGCUCCCUAAUUCCUGGAGGAACUUUGCCACCACUCUGAAACAUCAAAGGCGUGAAUUCUCUAUGGAGGAUGUCAUUGGCCAUCUGAGUGUUGAGCAGAAUUCAAGGGCAAAGGACUCGCACGGAAAAGGGGCCGAAGGGACUUCUGUCGCCAACAUGGUGAACCAGAAGAACUUCAACUCCCACAAGUCCAAGGGAAAGAAUGGUGUCCAACACAAUACCGACUUUAAGAAGAAGGGUAAGAAGACUUUCAAGAAGAACAAGAAGGAUGAGGGCUGCUUUACUUGUGUUUUCAUUGAACAUUGGGCCAACAAGUGCCCAAACAAGUACAAGAAGUCAUGA
RNAcentral lists this ribosomal RNA (492 nucleotides) under Triticum aestivum (bread wheat). RNAcentral describes it as "partial small subunit ribosomal RNA". Lineage: Eukaryota; Viridiplantae; Streptophyta; Magnoliopsida; Poales; Poaceae. The record is from RNAcentral.